Hemicordylus capensis (graceful crag lizard) is the source of this 339-nucleotide long non-coding RNA. RefSeq lists it as uncharacterized. The record is from RefSeq and is a predicted model, not a curated record. Lineage: Eukaryota; Metazoa; Chordata; Lepidosauria; Squamata; Cordylidae. The transcript is spliced from 3 exons.
CGGAAACGGAGAAUCAGCCGGCGGAACUGAAGCGCCAGUCGGACGGCUGGAAAGUUCCAUGUAUACAAAUGUAGUUUCCAGACUCCUGUGAAAAGUUGCAGUGCUGAUUCAAACAUGCAGGAGGAACAUUAGCCCAGCUGUGAAAAUAGCCACUCCCCUGUGGUCAAAAUCACAAGCUGCUAGCAAAGAACCUGCAAAGCUGGGAGAGAGUUGGUUCUUUUUUUCUCUUUCAGGUACACGUGGCAGACCAACUAAAAAAAAACCAAGUGUGUGUGUGUUGUGUGUGUGUGUGUGCACGUAUAAAAUGUGCAGGAGAAAUAAAUAUGUUAUGCUUUUAAA